GACGAACGCUGGCGGCGUGCUUAACACAUGCAAGUCGAGCGAGAAACCUUCGGGUUUCUAGCGGCGGACGGGUGAGUAACACGUGGGUAACCUGCCUCAAAGAGGGGGAUGGCCUUCCGAAAGGAAGAUUAAUACCGCAUAAUAUUUUAGCUUCGCAGGAAGUUGGAAUUAAAGGAGUAAUACGCUUUGAGAUGGACCCGCGGCGCAUUAGCUAGUUGGAGAGGUAACGGCUCACCAAGGCGACGAUGCGUAGCCGACCUGAGAGGGUGAUCGGCCACAUUGGAACUGAGACACGGUCCAGACUCCUACGGGAGGCAGCAGUGGGGAAUAUUGCACAAUGGGCGAAAGCCUGAUGCAGCAACGCCGCGUGAGUGAUGAAGGUCUUCGGAUUGUAAAGCUCUGUCUUUUGGGACGAUAAUGACGGUACCAAAGGAGGAAGCCACGGCUAACUACGUGCCAGCCGCCGCGGUAA
Molecule: ribosomal RNA, 472 nt
Filed under: uncultured bacterium
Lineage: Bacteria
Description: partial 16S ribosomal RNA
Rfam family: Bacterial small subunit ribosomal RNA
Source: RNAcentral